Molecule: small RNA, 126 nt
Filed under: Spermophilus dauricus (Daurian ground squirrel)
Lineage: Eukaryota; Metazoa; Chordata; Mammalia; Rodentia; Sciuridae
Description: WT1 antisense RNA conserved region 2 (ENSSDAG00000002428.1)
Rfam family: WT1 antisense RNA conserved region 2 (bases 38-126)
Source: RNAcentral
AAGGUUCCAGAGGGAACAUUCUCUAAUUCCAGCCAGCUGGGGAAACGCCCAGUGCCUGCGCUCUUUUCCGGCUGGAGCAUCCUGGCGCCCAGUUGAGGGAGGAAGGGAAAUGGGAAGGGUUUGGGC